UUAACCAGGUUUUCCGAAGGAAAAAACUGGUUAUUAGAUUGGCGAAUGCGGGCGGGCUGGCUGGCUGGCGGGCUGGCUGGCUGGCGGGCUGGCGGAAUAAGCUUGUCCGGGCCAUAACUAUGUCGUUCAUUGUCAGAUUUUAAAAUCAUUUGGCACAUUUGUUCACCAUCAUUGGACGGUGUGUCGCGCGAAAUAAUUACGUCGAUAUCUCCAAGGUCAAGGUCACACUUUGAGUUCAAAGGUCAAAAAUGGCCAUAAAUGAGCUUGUCCUGGCCAUAACUAUGUCAUUCAUUGUGAGAUUUUAAAAUCAUUUGGCACAUUUGUUCACCAUCAUGGGACGGUGUGUCCCACGAAAGAAUCACGUCAAUAUCUCCAAUGUCAAGGUCGCCACGACUAAAAAUAGAUUUAAAAAAAAAAAAAAAAUUACAAAGGGGGUUAAUUUUUUUUGGUCAUUUCAAAAGUUCA
Molecule: long non-coding RNA, 465 nt
Organism: Dreissena polymorpha
Lineage: Eukaryota; Metazoa; Mollusca; Bivalvia; Myida; Dreissenidae
Exons: 2
Source: RefSeq, a predicted model, not a curated record